Molecule: unclassified non-coding RNA, 632 nt
Filed under: Hevea brasiliensis (rubber tree)
Lineage: Eukaryota; Viridiplantae; Streptophyta; Magnoliopsida; Malpighiales; Euphorbiaceae
Source: RNAcentral
ACCUAAAUACUUGGAAUGGAUUUUGCCCGAAUGAACUGCUUAAGAAUAGCUUUAUCUUCAUCUACGCGCCUCUUCUCUUGUGGAUCUUUGGGUUUGACCUUCCUCUUCUCUUCUAAAAUCCAUUUGUACAGUUCACGUUGUUGAUUCUCAGGGAUUGGUUCAUGCAGCUUCACAGUUUCUGCAAUUGUAGGCAACGAAAUGGGCUUCUCAGGAAGUGGAGAGGCUGUGGGAGGGGUGGAGACAUUGGUUGCUACUUCUUCCUCUAGGUCUGUAUCUUUUUUCUUUGUUCUCAUGAAUAAGUAAGCUCCAACUGUGAGAUUGACAGUCAAGAGAAGGGGCCACAAGAACUUGUAACGCCUAGAAAAGGACUCCUUUGGAGGCUGAGGAGGUGGAGGAUGAGGAGCCGUAGACUGAGACGCCAUUCUGUAAGACGCUGCAGCAUCUAAGGCUGAUGAGAAUGGUGUUGGAGUGGCUUUAGUAUUUGUUGGUGUGGGGGAAGAGAAAUCUUUUGCCUUUUGUUGCUCCCGAAAUUGCUUGAGCUGCGCUGGUAUUACAAGAAAGGAAUUCGAGUCAACAGCCAAACACCACCAACAACCAAUGAUCGAAGAGAAGAAAACGAAUAGGGAAAAGUU